Desmophyllum pertusum is the source of this 86-nucleotide non-coding RNA. The record is from the annotation of a GenBank genome assembly. NCBI's taxonomy places the organism in Eukaryota, Metazoa, Cnidaria, Anthozoa, Scleractinia, Caryophylliidae.
GGCUCGGUGGCCAAGUGGUAAGGCGUCGGUCUCGUACUUGUAACCCAGAAAACCGAAGAUCGCGGGUUCGAAUCCCGUCCGGGCCU